AUGUCGAUUUGAGGUUGUUCCCUUGAGGAGUGGCUUUCGGAGCUAACGCGUUAAAUCGACCGCCUGGGGAGUACGGCCGCAAGGUUAAAACUCAAAUGAAUUGACGGGGGCCCGCACAAGCGGUGGAGCAUGUGGUUUAAUUCGAUGCAACGCGAAGAACCUUACCUACUCUUGACAUCCAGAGAACUUAGCAGAGAUGCUUUGGUGCCUUCGGGAACUCUGAGACAGGUGCUGCAUGGCUGUCGUCAGCUCGUGUUGUGAAAUGUUGGGUUAAGUCCCGCAACGAGCGCAACCCUUAUCCUUUGUUGCCAGCGAUUCGGUCGGGAACUCAAAGGAGACUGCCGGUGAUAAACCGGAGGAAGGUGGGGAUGACGUCAAGUCAUCAUGGCCCUUACGAGUAGGGCUACACACGUGCUACAAUGGCGUAUACAAAGAGAAGCGACCUCGCGAGAGCAAGCGGAACUCAUAAAGUACGUCGUAGUCCGGAUUGGAGUCUGCAACUCGACUCCAUGAAGUCGGAAUCGCUAGUAAUCGUAGAUCAGAAUGCUACGGUGAAUACGUUCCCGGGCCUUGUACACACCGCCCGUCACACCAUGGGAGUGGGUUGCAAAAGAAGUAGGUAGCUUAACCUUCGGGAGGGCGCUUACCACUUUGUGAUUCAUGACUGGGGUGAAGUCGUAAAGGGGAAAC
RNAcentral lists this ribosomal RNA (690 nucleotides) under Providencia vermicola. RNAcentral's name for it is "bacterial SSU rRNA". It matches the Rfam family "Bacterial small subunit ribosomal RNA", at positions 809 to 1500 of the family's 1533-position model. Lineage: Bacteria; Pseudomonadati; Pseudomonadota; Gammaproteobacteria; Enterobacterales; Morganellaceae. The record is from RNAcentral.